Molecule: long non-coding RNA, 1687 nt
Organism: Varroa destructor (honeybee mite)
Lineage: Eukaryota; Metazoa; Arthropoda; Arachnida; Mesostigmata; Varroidae
Source: RefSeq, a predicted model, not a curated record
GCGAAGAUAUCUUUCGAUCCUCUAGUGAAAAUAUCAAGUAACAUCUCUUGUUGCUCCGUCCCUCCAGGUUGAGCUCCUUACAGCCACAAGCCUUGAAAUCAAUGCCGGCCAGGGGUAACCUAGCUUUUCGCAGAAAACACAGCUGAAAGCAGUCAGCUAUAGAUAUUUUUUUCAAUGAGAGUCACGUAUUGGACUACGCUUUAUUUGGUUUGUGCUCAUUUACGAAUACCUCAUACUACUCAACGGCGCCUUCUCUGAUAAGCAGAUAAAGUCUCCAUUAUCGAAUUUACUCUGAAUUUUACCGGAUCAAUAGUACCGAAACUAAAUGUUUCAAGCCUCACGUCCGAUACCGCAGUCAUUCAUUCAUUCAGUCAGGGCAUUCCAUCAGAUGGAUAGCUCCCAACACAAAAUGAAGUGCGCUUGUUUGCCUGCUGAACCUAAAGGCACGAGGUGGUCGAAGUUCGAAUGAUAAUACCUGCGACAAAACAGUUUCACGAUGAUCUGCAAAGAAUAACGAUGUACAACUAUGACUGGAAAUGCGCCUUCAAAAUUGAUCUCUUCAUAAGUAAGCGUGGAAUAAAAUAGAUACGUCUGCACCAUGAAUUGUGCACAUAAGCAUUUCCUUUCGCGUUUUCGCACGAGAAAGAAGAAAGAGGACGCGUCAUAUUGCGAUGGGUUGCACAGUUCGGAGUGCUGAGUUCCGCACAAAGCCGUACCGAGAUGAGUCCCAGUGCCGGAAAGAGGAAAUUUGCCGUCGAGUGUUUUGUACAAAGCGGAAAUCGAGAAGCUGAAAUCGGCUCGAAGAUUCAAUUUGGAGAGGGAAGAACAUCAUUUUGGAUUAACCGGUCCAAAUGUCUCUUUCUUGCGGGGCUCUGGCCACGUCAACCGCCACAGUUAUCAACUCGAAACGUGUGAAAUCGUCAAAUGCCCUAUGCCAGAAGCCCCAAGGUGGAUAUGUGGAGGGAACCAAUUAUAUUCAUCGGCAGAAGCACUCUGAUGGCGUCAAGUGCCCUCUUCAUCCGUAAUAUGCAGUAACUUUCGCAAAAGAGAGCGAUGGGUUUUCGACUUCGAACAGUGGUUUAGCACGCAAGUCACCUUAAGCGAAGGAAAACCCCCUACCCCCUAACAGCGCUAAGGAUGCUAACCCUAUUUCGUCUGAAGGGACCUGCUGCUUUGUGCAGACGAGACUGGAGGACUGCAAACUCGAUUGUAACGCCCGAGUAAAUGUUCAACCCGAUUAAAUUGUUUCUCAGCGAAGACUUGUACAGAUCCAAUUUAAAGUUCAGGGCUCCAAGCAAAACUCGUAUCCAGUUGAGUUCGACUUUCGAGUUAUCGAGCCAGCCUUCGUAGGCGCUUUUUUCUUUGACAUAUAUAUAACUGCUUCCACUCUCCGCUAUAUACAUGAUCAAUACUCCCAUUUUCCUAAAUAUAAUACUGUGCAUUUCAGUAAUUAAAUACAUGUUAGUGGAUUACAACGUUUCGGUAAAACGGGCACAAAACAAACAAGCAUGUUUUUUGCGAAUGCGCUAUAUGGCCAAUUGAAUAUCCGUUAUUAAUCCGUGAUGUCUGACACGUACUCCGUAUAAGAUAGUCUAAACCUUCUUUACGUGUGUACAUGGUAUUAUAAAGGAAUGGCUAUGUGUAGCUUAAAGAAGGAUAAGGCUUAAUAAUAUAAAUAAAAGAUAAA